AGCUACAGGCUUAACACAUGCAAGUCGAGGGGCAGCAUGGUCUUAGCUUGCUAAGGCCGAUGGCGACCGGCGCACGGGUGAGUAACACGUAUCCAACCUGCCGUCUACUCUUGGACAGCCUUCUGAAAGGAAGAUUAAUACAAGAUGGCAUCAUGAGUCCGCAUGUUCACAUGAUUAAAGGUAUUCCGGUAGACGAUGGGGAUGCGUUCCAUUAGAUAGUAGGCGGGGUAACGGCCCACCUAGUCUUCGAUGGAUAGGGGUUCUGAGAGGAAGGUCCCCCACAUUGGAACUGAGACACGGUCCAAACUCCUACGGGAGGCAGCAGUGAGGAAUAUUGGUCAAUGGGCGAGAGCCUGAACCAGCCAAGUAGCGUGAAGGAUGACUGCCCUAUGGGUUGUAAACUUCUUUUAUAAAGGAAUAAAGUCGGGUAUGUAUACCCGUUUGCAUGUACUUUAUGAAUAAGGAUCGGCUAACUCCGUGCCAGCAGCCGCGGUAAUACGGAGGAUCCGAGCGUUAUCCGGAUUUAUUGGGUUUAAAGGGAGCGUAGAUGGAUGUUUAAGUCAGUUGUGAAAGUUUGCGGCUCAACCGUAAAAUUGCAGUUGAUACUGGAUAUCUUGAGUGCAGUUGAGGCAGGCGGAAUUCGUGGUGUACCGGUGAAAUGCUUAGAU
RNAcentral lists this ribosomal RNA (668 nucleotides) under uncultured organism. RNAcentral describes it as "SSU rRNA". It matches the Rfam family "Bacterial small subunit ribosomal RNA", at positions 38 to 695 of the family's 1533-position model. The record is from RNAcentral.